This 377-nucleotide ribosomal RNA is filed under the name uncultured bacterium. RNAcentral describes it as "bacterial SSU rRNA". It matches the Rfam family "Bacterial small subunit ribosomal RNA", at positions 521 to 896 of the family's 1533-position model. The record is from RNAcentral.
UAAUACGGAGGGUGCAAACGUUGCUCGGAAUUAUUGGGCGUAAAGCGAACGUAGGCGGUCCGAUAAGUCGGAUGUGAAAGCCCUCGGCUUAACCGAGGAAGUGCAUUCGAAACUGCCGGACUUGAGUACAGUAGAGGGUCGCGGAAUUCCCGGUGUAGAGGUGAAAUUCGUAGAUAUCGGGAGGAACACCAGUGGCGAAGGCGGCGACCUGGGCUGACACUGACGCUGAGGUUCGAAAGCGUGGGGAGCAAACAGGAUUAGAUACCCUGGUAGUCCACGCCGUAAACGAUGGGUGCUAGGUGUUGCGGGUAUUGACCCCUGCGGCGCCGCAGCUAACGCAUUAAGCACCCCGCCUGGGGAUUACGGUCGCAAGACUA